Molecule: ribosomal RNA, 518 nt
Filed under: Vibrio parahaemolyticus
Lineage: Bacteria; Pseudomonadati; Pseudomonadota; Gammaproteobacteria; Vibrionales; Vibrionaceae
Description: bacterial SSU rRNA
Source: RNAcentral
UCGGGCCUCUCGCGUCAGGAUAUGCCUAGGUGGGAUUAGCUAGUUGGUGAGGUAAGGGCUCACCAAGGCGACGAUCCCUAGCUGGUCUGAGAGGAUGAUCAGCCACACUGGAACUGAGACACGGUCCAGACUCCUACGGGAGGCAGCAGUGGGGAAUAUUGCACAAUGGGCGCAAGCCUGAUGCAGCCAUGCCGCGUGUGUGAAGAAGGCCUUCGGGUUGUAAAGCACUUUCAGUCGUGAGGAAGGYRGYGUMGUUAAUAGCKGCRUYRUUUGACGUUAGCGACAGAAGAAGCACCGGCUAACUCCGUGCCAGCAGCCGCGGUAAUACGGAGGGUGCGAGCGUUAAUCGGAAUUACUGGGCGUAAAGCGCAUGCAGGUGGUUUGUUAAGUCAGAUGUGAAAGCCCGGGGCUCAACCUCGGAAUUGCAUUUGAAACUGGCAGACUAGAGUACUGUAGAGGGGGGUAGAAUUUCAGGUGUAGCGGUGAAAUGCGUAGAGAUCUGAAGGAAUACCGGUGGC